This 107-nucleotide small nucleolar RNA is filed under the name Gossypium arboreum. RNAcentral describes it as "Plant small nucleolar RNA R71". It matches the Rfam family "Plant small nucleolar RNA R71". Rfam says of the family: R71 is a member of the C/D box family of snoRNAs containing the C (UGAUGA) and D (CUGA) box motifs. Multiple nearly identical copies of this snoRNA have been identified in Arabidopsis, and it is thought to function as a 2'-O-ribose methylation guide for 18S ribosomal RNA. The record is from Rfam by way of RNAcentral. Lineage: Eukaryota; Viridiplantae; Streptophyta; Magnoliopsida; Malvales; Malvaceae.
AACCCAUGGUAAGGACACCUUCGCAGUAGGUCCUUGUAUCUCUCUCAUGCAUCAUAGAGUGUUUCUAAAUCCAUCUGCACAAAAGAAGAAAUAUCAUUCCCCAGUUU